CGGGUGAGUAACGCGUGAGGAACCUGCCUCAAAGAGGGGGACAACAGUUGGAAACGACUGCUAAUACCGCAUAAGCCCACGGCUCGGCAUCGAGCAGAGGGAAAAGGAGUGAUCCGCUUUGAGAUGGCCUCGCGUCCGAUUAGCUGGUUGGUGAGGUAACGGCCCACCAAGGCGACGAUCGGUAGCCGGACUGAGAGGUUGAACGGCCGCAUUGGGACUGAGACACGGCCCAG
RNAcentral lists this ribosomal RNA (233 nucleotides) under uncultured bacterium. Its description in RNAcentral is "partial 16S ribosomal RNA". It matches the Rfam family "Bacterial small subunit ribosomal RNA", at positions 103 to 334 of the family's 1533-position model. The record is from RNAcentral.